AGCAGUCGCCGCGGUAACACGUAGGUGGCAAGCGUUGUCCGGAAUUAUUGGGCGUAAAGGGCUCGCAGGCGGUUUCUUAAGUCUGAUGUGAAAGCCCCCGGCUCAACCGGGGGGGGUCAUUGGAAACUGGGAAACUUGAGUGCAGAAGAGGAGAGUGGAGUUCCACGUGUAGCGGUGAAAUGCGUAGAGAUGUGGAGGAACACCAGUGGCGAAGGCGACUCUCUGGUCUGUAACUGACGCUGAGGAGCGAAAGCGUGGGGAGCGAACAGGAUUAGAUACCCCAGUAGUCCCUGUCUCUUAUAC
This 303-nucleotide ribosomal RNA is filed under the name uncultured bacterium. RNAcentral's name for it is "partial 16S ribosomal RNA". It matches the Rfam family "Bacterial small subunit ribosomal RNA", at positions 507 to 807 of the family's 1533-position model. The record is from RNAcentral.